GCCCUGGUAGUGUAGUGGCUAUCACGUGGCCCUGUCGAGGCUUCGACCCGGGUUCAAUUCCCGGCCAGGGCG
This 72-nucleotide transfer RNA is filed under the name Candidatus Woesearchaeota archaeon. Its description in RNAcentral is "tRNA-Asp". It matches the Rfam family "tRNA". Rfam says of the family: Transfer RNA (tRNA) molecules are approximately 80 nucleotides in length. Their secondary structure includes four short double-helical elements and three loops (D, anti-codon, and T loops). Lineage: Archaea; Nanobdellati; Candidatus Woesearchaeota. The record is from RNAcentral.